UUCCCCUAGUACUGCGAGUGAAGCGGGAAAAGCUCAAAUUUAAAAUCUGGCGGUCUUUUGGCUGUCCGAGUUGUAAUCUAGAGAAGUGUUAUCCGCGCUGGACCGUGUACAAGUCUCCUGGAAUGGAGCAUCAUAGAGGGUGAGAAUCCCGUCUUUGACAUGGACUGCCAGGGCUUUGUGAUGCGCUCUCAAAGAGUCGAGUUGUUUGGGAAUGCAGCUCAAAAUGGGUGGUAAAUUCCAUCUAAAGCUAAAUAUUGGCGAGAGACCGAUAGCGAACAAGUACCGUGAGGGAAAGAUGAAAAGAACUUUGGAAAGAGAGUUAAACAGUACGUGAAAUUGCUGAAAGGGAAACGCUUGAAGUCAGUCGCGUUGUCCAGGGAUCAACCUUGCUUUUGCUUGGUGCACUUCCUGGUUCGACGGGUCAGCAUCAAUUUUGAUCGUUGGAAAAAGGCUGGGGGAAUGUGGCAUCUCUGGAUGUGUUAUAGCCCUUGGUCACAUACAAUGGUUGGGAUUGAGGAACUCAGCACGCCGCAAGGCCGGGUUUUAAACCACGUACGUGCUUAGGAUGCUGGCAAUAUGGCUUUAAUCGACCCGUCUUGAAACACGGACCAAGGAGUCUAACAUGCCUGCGAGUGUUUGGGUGGAAAACCCGAGCGCGUAAUGAAAGUGAAAAGUUGAGAUCCCUGUCGUGGGGAGCAUCGACGCCCGGACCAGACCUUUUGUGACGGUUCCGCGGUAGAGCAUGUAUGUUGGGACCCGAAAGAUGGUGAACUAUGCCUGAAUAGGGUGAAUCCAGAGGAAACUCUGGUGGAGGCUCGUAGCGAUUCUGACGUGCAAAUCGAUCGUCAAAUUUGGGUAUAGGGGCGAAAGACU
Molecule: ribosomal RNA, 873 nt
Filed under: uncultured fungus
Lineage: Eukaryota; Fungi
Description: eukaryotic LSU rRNA
Rfam family: Eukaryotic large subunit ribosomal RNA
Source: RNAcentral